Molecule: long non-coding RNA, 293 nt
Filed under: Eucalyptus grandis
Lineage: Eukaryota; Viridiplantae; Streptophyta; Magnoliopsida; Myrtales; Myrtaceae
Description: long non-coding RNA (EGRA_LNC004282)
Source: RNAcentral
AACUCUAACAUGGAAACCUCAAAUAAACUAGAAAUGACAUAAGCCCCUAGCAUUAGGCCGACGCCGACCGACCAAAACACUUCAAAAUCACACCUUUCCGUAAUAUCACAAAAAUACCCGCAUUCACAUAAUGAAUAUCGAUCGAAUUCCAACCUGAGAUGCGCUCACGGCGGUUGAGUAAGCCCGAGGGGGAAGGCCAAAGCCCCACGAAAAGAAGCCGACGAUGCCGCGGAGCUUGACGCCCCUGGCAGAUACCGAGGCGAGAACAUUAGCUUCGCGAAGCGAUGGGCCAG